Molecule: long non-coding RNA, 834 nt
Filed under: Capra hircus (goat)
Lineage: Eukaryota; Metazoa; Chordata; Mammalia; Artiodactyla; Bovidae
Description: lncRNA (ENSCHIG00000005526.1)
Source: RNAcentral
GGAAUUUGCAAGGAGUUCCAUAUAGUCAUUGCUUUUGAGGCUGGCAUGCUGAGCUUCCUAUUGUGGGGUUUUAUGUAAAUCUGGGAAAUCUAGUGCUGGAUGUGGCCUGUUUCAAUCUCAUGAAUCUGAAAUCUCCAGUUGAACCUAAAAUUGAUUGAUUGUUGCAGCUAGUCAAAUGUUGAACUGUGUGUGUGGAAAAGGAAGAGGCUGAAUAGACCUCUAGGAUACUGGUGUGAUGCCUUCUUUGUCUCAUGAUACCCGAUGUAAUUUCGAUGACCCUCCCAGAUGUAUUACUGGAUUGUCUGGAAAAUUUGUUCCCUAAAGAUGGUGUGCCUGAGGAAAGGGGCUUCAACCCAGAGCUUACUUCACACUGUUCUUGGUGUUUGGCCAAAGUCACCAGGAUCCAAGAUGGUAACAUCUACGUUUCAGGGCCUAGAAGAGACAAAGGAACAAAGCAAUAGAGAGAAAACUGUGAGUGCUCAUUAGUUCUUAAGAACAAUGGAAACUGAUGCAUGCUAUGGCUCUUUCAUUCUACUGUCCACUGUUUUGUCACACGACCAAGUCUAACUGCAAAAGGGUUUGGCAGUCAUGUUCUCAAUCAAAUGCUAACAUUAUAUAUAGAGGUCUAAAGCGAUAGAGUAGGAAGUCCAGCAGUCUCUGUGAUCAACACCAUAAAUUAGUUGAAAAAGCAAGAUAAACAGUUUUAACUCUAGGGGAAAAGUAAUGAAUUAAUUUUUAAGUGAUCAUUAACAAACAGAAUUUUUAAAUACAUAAUUUUAUACAUUUUACUACACAAACAACCAAAGGGAGUUUUUCCUUAUAUCCACACUUACC